UGUGUGGUUAAUGAUGCAGUCUUUCCCCGACUUAUCGACUAUGGUGAAACAUCUGUACUAAAAGCCAAUUUUCUCUGAAACCACACA
Molecule: small nucleolar RNA, 87 nt
Organism: Lampris incognitus (smalleye Pacific opah)
Lineage: Eukaryota; Metazoa; Chordata; Actinopteri; Lampriformes; Lampridae
Product: small nucleolar SNORD12/SNORD106
Exons: 1
Source: RefSeq, a predicted model, not a curated record